CUAAGCUGCCAGUGUGGAAUUAUGGAAAUGAGAUGCUUCCCAAAUUUCACAUUCAAUAGCCAUAAAAGUUUGUAGCUGGAGGAUAUACAGGAUAAGACUCUACUUGAGCAGCCAGCCCGGCUGCCCGCAUCAGUCCUCAGCAACCCGCCAGAGGCGCCCAGCAUGAGUGAGAUCGCGCACAUCCAGACCGGCCAGUGCGGCAACCAGAUCGGGGCCAAGUUCUGGGAAGUCAUCAGUGAUGAGCAUGGCAUAGACCCCAGUGGCAACUAUGUGGGCGACUCUGACUUGCAGCUGGAGUGGAUCAGCGUCUACUACAAUGAGGCAUCUUCUCACAAAUAUGUGCCUCGGGCCAUCCUGGUGGACCUGGAGCCUGGAACCAUGGACAGCGCCUGCCCUGGAGCCUUCGGACAUCUUUUCAGGCCUGACAACUUCAUCUUCGGUCAGAGUGGGGCCGGCAACAACUGGGCCAAGGGCCACUACACGGAGUGGAGCUGGUGGAUUCGGCCCUAGACGUCGUGCGGAAGGAGUGUGAAAACUGCGACUGCCUGCAGGGCUUCCAGCUGACCAACUCGCUGGGCGGGGGCAUAGGCUCUGGCAUGGGCACGCUGCUCAUCAGCAAGGUACACCAGGAGUACCCCGACCGCAUCAUGAACACCUUCAGCGUGGUGCCCUAGUCCAAAGUGUCCGACACAGUGGUGGAGCCUUACAACGCCACGCUGCCCAUCCACCAGCUGGUGGAGAACACGGAUGAGACCUACUGCAUCGACAACAAGACGCUCUACGACAUCGGCUUCCGCACCCUCAAGCUGGCCACGCCCACCUACGGGGACUUCAAUCACCUGGUGUCGGCCACCAUGAGCUGGGUGACCACCUCGCUGCGCUUCCCAGGGCAGCUCAACGCCGAUCUGUGCAAGCUGGCGGUGAACAUGGUGCCCUUCCCCCACCUGCACUUCUUCAUGCCCAACUUUGCGCCCCUACGGCCCGGGGCAGCCAGUAGUACCGGGCCCUGACCGUGCCCGAGCUCACUCAGCAGAUAUUUGAUGCCAAGAACAUGAUAGCCGCCUGCUACCCACGCCACGGCCUCUACCUGACCAUCGCCACUGUGUUCCGGGGCCGCAUGUCCAUGAAGGAGGUGGACGAGCAGAUGCUGGCCAUCCAGAGCAAGAACAGCAGCUACUUCGUGGAGUGGAUCCCCAACAAUGUGUGCGACAUCCCACCCCACGGCCUCAAGAUGUCCUCCACCUUCAUUGGCAACAGCACUGCCAUCCAGGAGCUGUUCAAGCUCAUCUUUGAGCAGUUCACAGCCAUGUUCCAGCUCAAGGCCUUCCUGCACUGGUACACGGGCGGGGGCAUGGACGAGAUGGAGUUCACUGAGGCCGAGAGCAACAUGAACGACCUGGUGUCCGAGUACCAGCAGUACUAGGACUCCACGGCCAAGGAGGAGGGCGAGAGGCAUGAAGACUACGACGAGGAGUCAGAGGCCCAGGGCCCGAAGUGAAGGUGCUUGCAGCUGGCAUGAGGGGCAGGUGGUGGCCAGGGCCAAAGCCAGCAGUACCUGACCCCCAGAGCCAUCUUGCUGCCACCCCUGCUAUCCCCCCACCCUCGGGCUCCCGUGCCGCCUUCUGCAGUAUUUACAGCCUCCUCCUCCCCACCCAGGCCACCUGUGUGCUGCUCCUGUCUGUUUUAUUGCAGCUCCUGGCCUGAUGUUUUACGGUUUUGUUUAUUACUGGUUUGUGUUUAUAUUUUUGGGGAUACUUAAUAAAUCUAUUGCUGUCAGACAC
This is a non-coding RNA of Callithrix jacchus (white-tufted-ear marmoset), 1781 nucleotides long. NCBI's taxonomy places the organism in Eukaryota, Metazoa, Chordata, Mammalia, Primates, Cebidae. The record is from RefSeq and is a predicted model, not a curated record.